GGUAAUGAGCUUGUAUUAUGACUCAAUAGCAUCACUUUAUCACUUUAACACAGAUGGAGGCCUAAAUAACCAUAGGGCAAUGGUUCUUCUUAGAUGCAGAAGGACACAUUUAUAUAAUCUUAGGGACCCCAUCUCUGAGGUCACUCAUAAUUUAUAUUAAUUCAUUGUUAUUGCCAUUGCCCCAAGAAUAGAUAAGGAUAAGACAUCCUGUAGUACAGGUAGCAGAGAUAUAAACUAUUCUUAUUCUUGUGUCUUGUCUAUAGGAAGGGAGUGUAUCCUGGUGUAUGACAGCAUAUAGUAGAGACCAUUGUCAAUUAGGGCCUGUGAACUGAGACAGGGUGACUGGCUAAGUCCACAACCCAUUAGAAACCCAGAAAUAAUCAAAUCAUGAGGGAUCAUGGAAAGGAAGCUGAAUUUGCCAAGUUUUGCCACGUGGGCAUUGCAUGCCUAUGUGAUUAACCACCAAUAAAAACCUGGGACAUCAAAGAAUAAAUA
Molecule: long non-coding RNA, 495 nt
Filed under: Pan troglodytes (chimpanzee)
Lineage: Eukaryota; Metazoa; Chordata; Mammalia; Primates; Hominidae
Description: lincRNA
Source: RNAcentral